GACGAACGCUGGCGGCGUGCCUAAUACAUGCAAGUUGAGCGCUGAAGGUUGGUACUUGUACCGACUGGAUGAGCAGCGAACGGGUGAGUAACGCGUGGGGAAUCUGCCUUUGAGCGGGGGACAACAUUUGGAAACGAAUGCUAAUACCGCAUAAAAACUUUAAACACAAGUUUUAAGUUUGAAAGAUGCAAUUGCAUCACUCAAAGAUGAUCCCGCGUUGUAUUAGCUAGUUGGUGAGGUAAAGGCUCACCAAGGCGAUGAUACAUAGCCGACCUGAGAGGGUGAUCGGCCACAUUUGGACUGAGACACGGCCCAAACUCCUACGGGAGGCAGCAGUAGGGAAUCUUCGGCAAUGGACGAAAGUCUGACCGAGCAACGCCGCGUGAGUGAAGAAGGUUUUCGGAUCGUAAAACUCUGUUGGUAGAGAAGAACGUUGGUGAGAGUGGAAAGCUCAUCAAGUGACGGUAACUACCCAGAAAGGGACGGCUAACUACGUG
Molecule: ribosomal RNA, 497 nt
Filed under: uncultured bacterium
Lineage: Bacteria
Description: partial 16S ribosomal RNA
Rfam family: Bacterial small subunit ribosomal RNA
Source: RNAcentral